RNAcentral lists this ribosomal RNA (468 nucleotides) under uncultured bacterium. RNAcentral describes it as "partial 16S ribosomal RNA". It matches the Rfam family "Bacterial small subunit ribosomal RNA", at positions 28 to 507 of the family's 1533-position model. The record is from RNAcentral.
GACGAACGCUGGCGGCGUGCUUAACACAUGCAAGUCGAACGGAAAGGCCCUGCUUUUGUGGGGUGCUCGAGUGGCGAACGGGUGAGUAACACGUGAGUAACCUGCCCUUGACUUUGGGAUAACUUCAGGAAACUGGGGCUAAUACCGGAUAGGAGCUCCUGCUGCAUGGUGGGGGUUGGAAAGUUUCGGCGGUUGGGGAUGGACGCGCGGCUUAUCAGCUUGUUGGUGGGGUAGUGGCUUACCAAGGCUUUGACGGGUAGCCGGCCUGAGAGGGUGACCGGCCACAUUGGGACUGAGAGACGGCCCAGACUCCUACGGGAGGCAGCAGUGGGGAAUAUUGCACAAUGGGCGGAAGCCUGAGGCAGAGACGCCGCGUGCGGGAUGACGGCCUUCGGGUUGUAAACCGCUUUCGCCUGUGACGAAGCGUGAGUGACGGUAAUGGGUAAAGAAGCACCGGCUAACUACGUG